RNAcentral lists this ribosomal RNA (588 nucleotides) under uncultured Desulfobacteraceae bacterium. Its description in RNAcentral is "bacterial SSU rRNA". It matches the Rfam family "Bacterial small subunit ribosomal RNA", at positions 338 to 916 of the family's 1533-position model. The record is from RNAcentral. Lineage: Bacteria; Pseudomonadati; Thermodesulfobacteriota; Desulfobacteria; Desulfobacterales; Desulfobacteraceae.
CCUACGGGAGGCAGCAGUGAGGAAUCUUGCGCAAUGGGGGAAACCCUGACGCAGCAACGCCGUGUGAGUGAUGAAGGCUUUCGGGUCGUAAAGCUCUGUCAAGUGGGAAGAACCUGCCGGAUGCCAAUACCAUCCGGCACUGACGGUACCACUGGAGGAAGCACCGGCUAACUCCGUGCCAGCAGCCGCGGUAAGACGGAGGGUGCAAGCGUUAUUCGGAAUUACUGGGCGUAAAGGGCGCGUAGGCGGCUCUUUAAGUCAGGCGUGAAAGCCCGGGGCUCAACCCCGGAAGUGCGUUUGAAACUGAGGAGCUUGAGUACGGGAGAGGGAAGUGGAAUUCCUGGUGUAGAGGUGAAAUUCGUAGAUAUCAGGAGGAACACCGGUGGCGAAGGCGACUUCCUGGACCGAUACUGACGCUGAGGCGCGAAAGCGUGGGGAGCAAACAGGAUUAGAGACCCUGGUAGUCCACGCCGUAAACGAUGAACACUAGGUGUAGCGGGUAUUGACCCCCGCUGUGCCGUAGCUAACGCAUUAAGUGUUCCGCCUGGGGACUACGGUCGCAAGGCUAAAACUCAAAUGAAUUGACGG